ACCGGAGCUCUGUCUCCUAUUCCAUUCCACCGUGCAGCAAGCAGAGCACGCAGAGCCGAGCCCCCCUGAACUCAACGCCGGUGACUGACCGCCAUGAGCGAUCGCAGGUACGGGUACUCGUACCCGCCACCUCAGGGGUACUACAACAAUGGGCCGCCGGUGAUGGCGCCGCCGCAGUACCAGUAUGCAGCUCCGCCGCGGCGGGAGUCGAGCUUCCUCGAAGGAUGCCUUGCUGCCCUGUGCUGCUGCUGCCUCCUAGACGAGUGCUGCUGCGACCCGUCGGUCAUAUUCGUGAGCUGAUCAUCCGAUCACAAACAUGUGCUUCCGUCCCAGGCUCCCAGCCCAGAAAUAUCCGUGUGUUCGCCCUUUUGUUGGUGAUGAUAUGAUGUUUUCAGCCCAGAAAUAUGUGUACAGCUCAUAUGUUGUUUGAACAUACCACAACACGACACCGUAUCGACAUCUAUGUAUGUGUACGAAGUAUCUGAAUAAAUUACGGCAGGCAGAAAGUUUAUUCGUAGUA
This is a long non-coding RNA of Panicum hallii, 520 nucleotides long. RefSeq lists it as uncharacterized. Lineage: Eukaryota; Viridiplantae; Streptophyta; Magnoliopsida; Poales; Poaceae. The record is from RefSeq and is a predicted model, not a curated record. The transcript is spliced from 3 exons.